CUGUGGCCUGAGUCCAGGUUUCCUGCUUGAGUGACAGUCUUUUUAAGCAGCUGACAGCCUCGUUGCUGAUGCCCAGAAUGCAAGAAGGACUGCAGGCCUGCGUCUGGUGAAGGCCUCGCUGAAUGACUUCGGAAUUAUUUGAGACUUGGGGUUGUCCUGCCCUGGUUGUGUAUAUCUGGUGUGUUUUAUGUGCCUUUUCAAUUGAAUUGAAUUGAAAGGGUCACGGGAAGCUAACACUGGGUGAGGCCGCGGUACACACUGGACAAGUGGCCAGUCAGGACUGACAUAUAGAGUCAAACCACCAUUCACGCUCACAUACACACCUACGGACAAUUUAGAGUCACCAAUUAACGUAAACCUAGAUGUCUUUGGAGUGUGGGAAG
This is a long non-coding RNA of Seriola dumerili (greater amberjack), 383 nucleotides long. RefSeq lists it as uncharacterized. NCBI's taxonomy places the organism in Eukaryota, Metazoa, Chordata, Actinopteri, Carangiformes, Carangidae. The transcript has 3 exons. The record is from RefSeq and is a predicted model, not a curated record.